CAUCGGGACAUAAAGUAAUAGUUUUACAACUAGUGGCAUCCAAGUAAGAGAUAAUAAUCUGAGUGGGACAGGGAGACAAGGGAAGAGAAUACUUGAAAUACUAAGAAGGAGAACUUGGUAAAUUGUUAGAAGACAGGUGAAGAUGAACGGGGAGGAAAUCUAAGAUAGUUUCCAGGUUUCUGGUUUGGGUAACGGAGUCUGCGUGGUAAACUACCUGGGAUGGAUAGGAGGCGCAGGUUUGGGAAUAGGGAGCCAAAGUUACGUUGCGUGAGGGGCUUGUUGGUUGUGUAGAUCGGAUGACAGGAGCUCUGGUAUUUACUUUGGCGCCGGGAGCCUGCGGCUCUGCCUUGAUGGAUUCAGCCUCUUCAGAGCUGUCUGUCAAAGGCAAGGAGAUGAGGUGUAGAUCGGCAGGGUGCGGGUACCUGGGCCCUGCCUAGAUCGCCGAACACCCGCAGCUCCCAGGGCUCGGGAGUCCUGGUCCGGGAGAGCCGGGGGCCCGCCCAUCGCUGUCAGAGGAAGCUGCGUGAUUGGCUGGAGACCGGGCCGUGGGCGGGCCCGGACGCGAGGAACUGCUCAACGAUUGGCUGGGAGGCACCAAAAAAGGUCCAAUUCAAACUACUGGAGCCGCCUUUCCAAAGGGUUGGCGCCGAGUUCCACCCCACCCCUUCGCUUAGUUAGACAGGUAAGCAAGCCAGAGUUGUAUUGGUCAGAUCCUCCCGGUGCAGCUCCUUUCCAGAAUCAGAAUGAGAAGAGAGCUGUGAUUGGCUUAUUUUCUGGGGCGGGCACUCUAGGCCUUGUCCGGCCUUCGCUUCGGGGACUAGCGCCCGUCCUGGGCAUGGAUUGGGCUGCAGGGUUGUCAGCUUGAUCCGGGAGGCGUGGCCAGCACUGAUAAAGACUGGGGCCGGCGCGGCAACUGCAGUAAGUUCCACAGCAGUUAGAGCUCCGGUGGGCAGCCAGAGGCGGAGUUCGGAGGUGCGGGCGGCUUCACCGCAGCGUUUCCCGAUCGGGUGUCUAGCCGCAGACUCCGGAGAGGAAACGGUCCUCUCAUCCUUCUCUCGGUGACAUGUCUGCUCCAGCUCAGCCACCCACUGAAGGGGCAGAAGGGGCUGCCCCAGGUGGGGGUCCCCCUGGCCCUCCUCCUAAUAUGACCAGUAACAGACGACUACAGCAAACCCAGGCACAAGUGGAGGAGGUGGUGGACAUCAUGCGUGUAAACGUGGACAAGGUCCUAGAGAGGGACCAGAAGCUGUCAGAGCUGGAUGACCGAGCCGACGCUCUGCAGGCAGGUGCAUCACAAUUUGAGAGCAGCGCUGCCAAGCUAAAGAGGAAGUACUGGUGGAAAAACUGCAAGAUGAUGAUCAUGCUGGGAGCCAUCUGCGCCAUCAUCGUGGUAGUUAUUGUAAUCUACUUUUUUGCUUGAGAACGUGCUGCCCCGUCCCUGUUCCCCCCGGCCAUCUGAACUCAUGUCCCUCUCUCCCUCCGUCUCUCCCCGGCGCUACCCCAUCCGCCUUCCUCCACCCCAGCCCCGCUUCGCCAUCACCCACUCCUCCUCUUUUGUUGCUUUCAUUUGCACGCGGUCCCACGACACCGGAAAUGCUGCUCAUGGUACAGUCUUGAGGUAACUGCCUGGUAAACAACAGCGGGCAUCUCCUUCCUCCCCCAUCACGCUCUCAAGUUCCCCCAAAGGGCUGGAGGUGGAGGGCCGAGGAAGGGGCGGAGCUGAGGUGACAUGCCCAAGAAGGGGCCAGAACUGGGGGGAGGAGAAGAGGCUUCUGCUGGUGGUGUUGCCAGGAAAGGCCAGGCCGCUGGCAGGAGGAGGCUGGGGACAGCUGGGAGAAUGUCCCUCACCUGGAGUUCUUCUCUUGGGCCAGGCCUUGGAAGGGAGCCUGGACUGGGCCUGCAGUCCAGCCUGGGCCUGGUGCAGGAUGCCUUAAGAAAGUCAAGCCUGUUUUUCAGAGGGAUGUCCCAUCCGUUACUCUUAAGAUUUUCUGUCUUCAGGGAUCUUACCACCUUUUACUUUGUCCUCCAGUGACCUAGAGGAUACAUAUUCAUAGCGAAAAAAUGCCAGGACUCCCAUUCCCAUCCUGGAAGCAGUCCUGCCAGCUCACACCUGGACGGGGCGUUUGUCCACGUUUUCUGUUUUCUGCACCAUUCUGUGUUAUUCGUGAGGGCUCAGAUAAUUUCAUUAGCCAGAGUUUGAGACUUUCACUGAAUUUUACUGGCAUAUAUAAAGAGAGGAUGCCUGUGGGUUAUAGAGACACAGCAAGUCCAGGGCCUAACCCGAAAAUAACAAGCCUGGAGGAAGUCACUUCUCACCCUCUUGUUCUGAGGUUCCUGUUGCUCUCUCCUGUUGAUGGAGGAGGAUGAGGGGCUAGAGGGGGUCACCGCCGGAGAAGAACCACCACUGGCCUCGAUGUAUCCCAAGCCUGGAGCAAACCUGCCCUCCUGGGCCGCCCCGUCACAGG
Non-coding RNA from Odocoileus virginianus texanus, 2465 nucleotides. Lineage: Eukaryota; Metazoa; Chordata; Mammalia; Artiodactyla; Cervidae. The record is from RefSeq and is a predicted model, not a curated record.